CGGACGGGUGAGUAACACGUGGGUAACCUGCCCAUAAGACUGGGAUAACUCCGGGAAACCGGGGCUAAUACCGGAUAAUAUUUUGAACCGCAUGGUUCGAAAUUGAAAGGCGGCUUCGGCUGUCACUUAUGGAUGGACCCGCGUCGCAUUAGCUAGUUGGUGAGGUAACGGCUCACCAAGGCAACGAUGCGUAGCCGACCUGAGAGGGUGAUCUGCCACACUGGGACUGAGACACGGCCCAG
This 242-nucleotide ribosomal RNA is filed under the name uncultured Bacillus sp. Its description in RNAcentral is "partial 16S ribosomal RNA". It matches the Rfam family "Bacterial small subunit ribosomal RNA", at positions 99 to 334 of the family's 1533-position model. Lineage: Bacteria; Bacillati; Bacillota; Bacilli; Caryophanales; Bacillaceae. The record is from RNAcentral.